Non-coding RNA from Salmo salar (Atlantic salmon), 422 nucleotides. The record is from RefSeq and is a predicted model, not a curated record. NCBI's taxonomy places the organism in Eukaryota, Metazoa, Chordata, Actinopteri, Salmoniformes, Salmonidae.
CUCUCUCUCUAUCUUUCUCUAAAGGGGAGUCAAGCUGAGGACACCGGUCUCUAUGACAACCUGCUAGCUCAGGAUAUGUCAUAGGAACUUGAUUAGGUCGAGUGACAGACAGCAGCGACGUUUUCUCCGCCUGAAGCAGCACCGGGGAGCCGUGAGCAAAGCAGCGGGGAGCUCCCAUCUGAUGGAAAACGGCGGGUUUUAACGGCCAGCAGCACCGAGAGCAUCGACCCGGGAGGCACGGUUCCGUUAUCCUAGGAAUUAGAGGCUCAGACGGCACCGGAAGGAAAGGUCACCAUCACCCCAAAGCCUCCUGCCUCUCCUCUCCUCUGUUAGCUCUGUGUGUGUCUUGGAGGGAAGGUUGUGUAGCCUCCCCUCCUCUCCUCUCCUCUCCUCUCCUCUCCUCUCCUCUCCUCUCCUCUCCU